AACGAACGCUGGCGGCAGGCCUAACACAUGCAAGUCGUGCGCGCCCUUCGGGGUGAGCGGCGGACGGGUGAGUAACGCGUGGGAAUAUGCCCUUCUGUUGAGGAUAGCCCUGGGAAACUGGGAGUAAUACUCGAUACGCCCUACGGGGGAAGGAAGGAUUAGCCCGCGUUAGAUUAGGUAGUUGGUGAGGUAAUGGCUCACCAAGCCUACGAUCUAUAGCUGGUUUUAGAGGAUGAUCAGCCACACUGGGACUGAGACACGGCC
This 264-nucleotide ribosomal RNA is filed under the name uncultured bacterium. RNAcentral's name for it is "partial 16S ribosomal RNA". It matches the Rfam family "Bacterial small subunit ribosomal RNA", at positions 29 to 331 of the family's 1533-position model. The record is from RNAcentral.